GGGCUCGCAGGCGGUUUCUUAAGUCUGAUGUGAAAGCCCCCGGCUCAACCGGGGAGGGUCAUUGGAAACUGGGGAACUUGAGUGCAGAAGAGGAGAGUGGAAUUCCACGUGUAGCGGUGAAAUGCGUAGAGAUGUGGAGGAACACCAGUGGCGAAGGCGACUCUCUGGUCUGUAACUGACGCUGAGGAGCGAAAGCGUGGGGAGCGAACAGGAUUAGAUACCCUGGUAGUCCACGCCGUAAACGAUGAGUGCUAAGUGUUAGGGGGUUUCCGCCCCUUAGUGCUGCAGCUAACGCAUUAAGCACUCCGCCUGGGGAGUACGGUCGCAAGACUGAAACUCAAAGGAAUUGACGGGGGCCCGCACAAGCGGUGGAGCAUGUGGUUUAAUUCGAAGCAACGCGAAGAACCUUACCAGGUCUUGACAUCCUCUGACAAUCCUAGAGAUAGGACGUCCCCUUCGGGGGCAGAGUGACAGGUGGUGCAUGGUUGUCGUCAGCUCGUGUCGUGAGAUGUUGGGUUAAGUCCCGCAACGAGCGCAACCCUUGAUCUUAGUUGCCAGCAUUCAGUUGGGCACUCUAAGGUGACUGCCGGUGACAAACCGGAGGAAGGUGGGGAUGACGUCAAAUCAUCAUGCCCCUUAUGACCUGGGCUACACACGUGCUACAAUGGACAGAACAAAGGGCAGCGAAACCGCGAGGUUAAGCCAAUCCCACAAAUCUGUUCUCAGUUCGGAUCGCAGUCUGCAACUCGACUGCGUGA
RNAcentral lists this ribosomal RNA (758 nucleotides) under Bacillus subtilis. RNAcentral describes it as "bacterial SSU rRNA". It matches the Rfam family "Bacterial small subunit ribosomal RNA", at positions 565 to 1323 of the family's 1533-position model. The record is from RNAcentral. Lineage: Bacteria; Bacillati; Bacillota; Bacilli; Caryophanales; Bacillaceae.